Molecule: non-coding RNA, 191 nt
Organism: Notechis scutatus (mainland tiger snake)
Lineage: Eukaryota; Metazoa; Chordata; Lepidosauria; Squamata; Elapidae
Source: RefSeq, a predicted model, not a curated record
CCCGGAGCAUCCCAAGACCUCGCCAUGAACGCCCUUCUGCUGGCCGCUCUCUGCGCCCUGGCCGCGCUCAGCCUCGCCCGGCCAGAAGUCGAUCACGCCCGGAGGGCCGACGGGCCGCCCAAGUCGGGAGCUUUUGUCUCCAAGCGAGAGGGGGCUGAGAUCGUGAAGCGACAGAAGAGGAACUACAACAG